AGUGAACGCUGGCGGUAGGCCUAACACAUGCAAGUCGAACGGCAGCACAGGAGAGCUUGCUCUCUGGGUGGCGAGUGGCGGACGGGUGAGGAAUACAUCGGAAUCUACUCUGUCGUGGGGGAUAACGUAGGGAAACUUACGCUAAUACCGCAUACGACCUACGGGUGAAAGCAGGGGAUCUUCGGACCUUGCGCGAUUGAAUGAGCCGAUGUCGGAUUAGCUAGUUGGCGGGGUAAAGGCCCACCAAGGCGACGAUCCGUAGCUGGUCUGAGAGGAUGAGCAUCCACACUGAAACUGAGACACGGCUCAGACUCCUACGGGAGGCAGCAGUGGGGAAUAUUGGACAAUGGGCGCAAGCCUGAUUCAGCCAUACCGCGUGGGUGAAGAAGGCCUUCGGGUUGUAAAGCCCUUUUGUUGGGAAAGAAAUCCAGCUGGCUAAUACCCGGUUGGGAUGACGGUACCCAAAGAAUAAGCACCGGCUAACUUCGUGCCAGCCGCCGCAGUAA
RNAcentral lists this ribosomal RNA (506 nucleotides) under uncultured bacterium. Its description in RNAcentral is "partial 16S ribosomal RNA". It matches the Rfam family "Bacterial small subunit ribosomal RNA", at positions 29 to 523 of the family's 1533-position model. The record is from RNAcentral.